AUGUCUUUCUACGGAAUCGCAGGCCUAUUCAUUAGCUCCUACUUGUGGUGUACUAUUUUGUGGAAUGUAGGUAGUGGUUAUGACCGAUUCGAUAGAAAAGAGGGAAUAGUGUGCAUUUUUCGUUGGGGAUUCCCUGGAAUAAAACGUCGCGUCUUCCUUCGAUUCCUUAUGCGGGAUAUCCAAUCAAUUAGAAUUCAGGUUAAAGAGGGUCUUUAUCCUCGUCGUAUUCUUUAUAUGGAAAUCCGGGGCCAGGGGAUCAUUCCCUUGACUCGUACUGAUGAUAAAUUUUUUACUCCACGAGAAAUUGAACAAAAAGCUGCCGAAUUGGCCUAUUUCUUGCGCGUACCAAUUGAAGUAUUUUUUUUGAACUGA
Molecule: ribosomal RNA, 372 nt
Filed under: Triticum aestivum (bread wheat)
Lineage: Eukaryota; Viridiplantae; Streptophyta; Magnoliopsida; Poales; Poaceae
Description: partial small subunit ribosomal RNA
Source: RNAcentral